UACCAGCUCCCCGAGUGGUGGGGACUAUUAUUGGGCCUAAAGCGUCCGUAGCCUGCUUGACAAGUCUUCCGUUAAAUCCACCGAUCCAAUCGUUGGGCCGCGGGAGAUACCGUUAGGCUAGGGGGCGGGAGAGGCUGAUGGUAUUCUUAGGGUAGGGGUGAAAUCCUAUAAUCCUAAGAGGACCACCAGUGGCGAAGGCGGUCAGCUAGAACGCGCUCGACGGUGAGGGACGAAAGCUGGGGGAGCGAUCCGGAUUAGAUACCCGGGUAGUCCCAGCUGUAAACGAUGCGAGCUAGGUGUUGGGGUGGCUACGUGCCACUUCAGUGCCGCAGGGAAGCCAUUAAGCUCGCCGCCUGGGGAGUACGGCCGCAAGGCUGAAACUUAAAGGAAUUGGCGGGGGAGCACCACAAGGCGUGAAGCUUGCGGUUC
Molecule: ribosomal RNA, 429 nt
Filed under: uncultured archaeon
Lineage: Archaea
Description: bacterial SSU rRNA
Rfam family: Archaeal small subunit ribosomal RNA
Source: RNAcentral